GACGAACGCUGGCGGCGUGCUUAACACAUGCAAGUCGAACGGAAAGGCCCUGCUUUUGCGGGGUGCUCGAGUGGCGAACGGGUGAGUAACACGUGAGUAACCUGCCCUUGACUUUGGGAUAACUUCAGGAAACUGGGGCUAAUACCGGAUAGGAGCUCCUGCUGCAUGGUGGGGGUUGGAAAGUUUCGGCGGUUGGGGAUGGACUCGCGGCUUAUCAGCUUGUUGGUGGGGUAGUGGCUUACCAAGGCUUUGACGGGUAGCCGGCCUGAGAGGGUGACCGGGCACAUUGGGACUGAGAUACGGACCAGACUCCUACGGGAGGCAGCGGUGGGGAAUAUUACACAAUGGGCGGAAGCCUGAUGCAGCAGCGCCGCGUGCGGAAUGACGGCCUUCGGGUUGUAAACCGCUUUCGCCUGUGACGAAGCGUGAGUGACGGUAAUGGGUAAAGAAGCACCGGCUAACUACGUG
RNAcentral lists this ribosomal RNA (468 nucleotides) under uncultured bacterium. RNAcentral's name for it is "partial 16S ribosomal RNA". It matches the Rfam family "Bacterial small subunit ribosomal RNA", at positions 28 to 507 of the family's 1533-position model. The record is from RNAcentral.